CAUGUCUUUUUGUUAUUAAUUUAAAGUCUGACCUGCCCAGUGAUAAUUUUAAACGGCCGCAGUAUUUUGACUGUGCAAAGGUAGCGUGAUAAUUAGUUUUUUUAUUGAAAGCUGGUAUGAAUGGUUGAACGAGAAGAAAGCUGUCUCAAUAAAAUUUAUUUUGAAUUUUAUUUUUAAGUUAAAAAGCUUAAAUUUUAUUAAAGGACGAGAAGACCCUAUAGAGUUUAAAAUUUUAUAUUUAUUUGGUGUUUAGUAUUUUAUUUAAAUAUUUUUUAAAGUUUUUGGUUGGGGUGAUUUAAAGAUUUAAUUAAUUCUUUAUUUUUUAAACAUUGAUUUUUGAAUUUAUGAUCCAUAUUUGUUGAUUAAAAGAUUAAAUUACCUUAGGGAUAACAGCGUUAUUUCCUUUAGAGUUCUUAUUGAAUUGGAAGAUUGCGACCUCGAUGUUGGAUUAAAAUUUAUUUUUAGUGCAGAAGCUAACAUAUUAAGUCUGUUCGACUUUUAAAAUUUUACAUGAUCUGAGU
This 521-nucleotide ribosomal RNA is filed under the name Eucnemidae sp. UPOL 001225. RNAcentral describes it as "partial 16S ribosomal RNA". It matches the Rfam family "Archaeal large subunit ribosomal RNA", at positions 1906 to 2679 of the family's 2987-position model. The record is from RNAcentral. Lineage: Eukaryota; Metazoa; Arthropoda; Insecta; Coleoptera; Eucnemidae.